RNAcentral lists this ribosomal RNA (468 nucleotides) under uncultured bacterium. RNAcentral's name for it is "partial 16S ribosomal RNA". It matches the Rfam family "Bacterial small subunit ribosomal RNA", at positions 28 to 507 of the family's 1533-position model. The record is from RNAcentral.
GACGAACGCUGGCGGCGUGCUUAACACAUGCAAGUCGAACGGAAAGGCCCUGCUUUUGUGGGGUGCUCGAGUGGCGAACGGGUGGGUAACACGUGAGUAACCUGCCCUUGACUUUGGGAUAACUUCAGGAAACUGGGGCUAAUACCGGAUAGGAGCUCCUGCUGCAUGGUGGGGGUUGGAAAGUUUCGGCGGUUGGGGAUGGACUCGCGGCUUAUCAGCUUGUUGGUGGGGUAGUGGCUUACCAAGGCUUUGACGGGUAGCCGGUCUGAGAGGGUGACCGGCCACAUUGGGACUGAGAUACGGCCCAGACUCCUACGGGAGGCAGCAGUGGGGAAUAUUGCACAAUGGGCGGAAGCCUGAUGCAGCAACGCCGCGUGCGGGAUGACGGCCUUCGGGUUGUAAACCGCUUUCGCCUGUGACGAAGCGUGAGUGACGGUAAUGGGUAAAGAAGCACCGGCUAACUACGUG